Molecule: ribosomal RNA, 117 nt
Filed under: Oscillospiraceae bacterium
Lineage: Bacteria; Bacillati; Bacillota; Clostridia; Eubacteriales; Oscillospiraceae
Source: RNAcentral
GUUGGUGUUGAUGACGCUGGAGACAUACCCGUUCCCAUCCCGAACACGGAAGUCAAGCCCAGUGGUGCCGAAGAUACUUAGCUGGAAGCGGCUUGGAAAAAUAGGAAGAUGCCAACU